UACGUAGGGUGCAAGCGUUGUCCGGAAUUAUUGGGCGUAAAGAGCUCGUAGGCGGUUUGUCGCGUCGGCUGUGAAAACUCGGGGCUCAACCCCGAGCCUGCAGUCGAUACGGGCAAACUUGAGUGCGGUAGGGGAGACUGGAAUUCCUGGUGUAGCGGUGAAAUGCGCAGAUAUCAGGAGGAACACCGGUGGCGAAGGCGGGUCUCUGGGCCGAUACUGACGCUGAGGAGCGAAAGCGUGGGGAGCGAACAGG
Molecule: ribosomal RNA, 253 nt
Filed under: uncultured bacterium
Lineage: Bacteria
Description: partial 16S ribosomal RNA
Rfam family: Bacterial small subunit ribosomal RNA
Source: RNAcentral